AUUGAACGCUGGCGGCAGGCUUAACACAUGCAAGUCGAGCGGGGUGAUGGUGCUUGCACUAUCACUUAGCGGCGGACGGGUGAGUAAUGCUUAGGAAUCUGCCUAUUAGUGGGGGACAACAUCUCGAAAGGGAUGCUAAUGCCGCAUACGUCCUACGGGAGAAAGCAGGGGAUCACUUGUGACCUUGCGCUAAUAGAUGAGCCUAAGUCGGAUUAGCUAGUUGGUGGGGCAAAGGCCUACCAAGGCGACGAUCUGUAGCGGGUCUGAGAGGAUGAUCCGCAACACUGGGACUGAGACACGGCCCAGACUCCUACGGGCGGCAGCAGUGGGGAAUAUUGGACAAUGGGGGGAACCCUGAUCCAGCCAUGACGCGUGUGUGAAGAAGGCCUUAUGGUUGUAAAGCACUUUAAGCGAGGAGGAGGCUCUUUUGGUUAAUACCCAAGAUGAGUGGACGUUACUCGCAGAAUAAGCACCGGCUAACUCUGUGCCAGCGGCCGUGGUAA
RNAcentral lists this ribosomal RNA (503 nucleotides) under uncultured bacterium. RNAcentral describes it as "partial 16S ribosomal RNA". It matches the Rfam family "Bacterial small subunit ribosomal RNA", at positions 30 to 523 of the family's 1533-position model. The record is from RNAcentral.